This 400-nucleotide ribosomal RNA is filed under the name uncultured bacterium. RNAcentral's name for it is "bacterial SSU rRNA". It matches the Rfam family "Bacterial small subunit ribosomal RNA", at positions 30 to 432 of the family's 1533-position model. The record is from RNAcentral.
AUUGAACGCUGGCGGCAUGCCUUACACAUGCAAGUCGAACGGCAGCACGGGAGCAAUCCUGGUGGCGAGUGGCGAACGGGUGAGUAAUAUAUCGGAACGUGCCCAGUCGUGGGGAUAACGUAGCGAAAGCUACGCUAAUACCGCAUACGAUCUAUGGAUGAAAGCGGGGGAUCGCAAGACCUCGCGCGAUUGGAGCGGCCGAUAUCAGAUUAGGUAGUUGGUGAGGUAAAGGCUCGCCAAGCCGACGAUCUGUAGCUGGUCUGAGAGGACGACCAGCCACACUGGGACUGAGACACGGCCCAGACUCCUACGGAGGCAGCAGUGGGGAAUUUUGGACAAUGGGCGCAAGCCUGAUCCAGCAAUGCCGCGUGCAGGAUGAAGGCCUUCGGUUGUAACGUAG